GCGGCAGGCUUCAUACAUGCAAGUCGAGGGGCAGCAUAAAUUACUUGUAAUUUGAUGGCGACCGGCGAACGGGUGCGUAACGCGUAUGCAACUUACCUUUUACUAGAGAAUAGCCAAGAGAAAUUUUGAUUAAUGCUCUAUGUUUUUAUUAACUCGCAUGAGUUAAUAAGCAAAGCUCCGGCGGUAAAAGAUGGGCAUGCGUCCUAUUAGCUUGUAGGUGAGGUAACGGCUCACCUAAGCUCCGAUAGGUAGGGGUCCUGAGAGGGAGAUCCCCCACACUGGUACUGAGACACGGACCAGACUUCUACGGAAGGCAGCAGUAAGGAAUAUUGGACAAUGGAGGCAACUCUGAUCCAGCCAUGCCGCGUGAAGGAAGACGGCCUUAUGGGUUGUAAACUUCUUUUAUACAGGAAGAAACCUUUCCACGAGUGGAAAGCUGACGGUACUGUAAGAAUAAGGAUCGGCUAACUCCGUGCCAGCAGCCGCGGUAAUACGGAGGAUCCAAGCGUUAUCCGGAAUUAUUGGGUUUAAAGGGUCCGCAGGCUGUUUGUUAAGUCAGAGGUGAAAUCCUACCGCUCAACGGUAGAACUGCCUUUGAUACUGGCAAACUUGAGUUAUUGUGAAGUAGUUAGAAUGUGUAGUGUAGCGGUGAAAUGCAUAGAUAUUACACAGAAUACCGAUUGCGAAAGCAGAUUACUAACAAUAUACUGACGCUGAGGGACGAAAGCGUGGGUAGCGAACAGGAUUAGAUACCCUGGUAGUCCACGCCGUAAACGAUGGUCACUAGCUGUUCGAUGUACAUUGGUACAUUGAGUGGCUAAGCGAAAGUGAUAAGUGACCCACCUGGGGAGUACGCU
This 857-nucleotide ribosomal RNA is filed under the name uncultured Flavobacteriaceae bacterium. RNAcentral describes it as "bacterial SSU rRNA". It matches the Rfam family "Bacterial small subunit ribosomal RNA", at positions 39 to 886 of the family's 1533-position model. The record is from RNAcentral. Lineage: Bacteria; Pseudomonadati; Bacteroidota; Flavobacteriia; Flavobacteriales; Flavobacteriaceae.